This 1312-nucleotide long non-coding RNA is filed under the name Canis lupus familiaris (dog). Its description in RNAcentral is "lncRNA (ENSCAFG00000056195.1)". Lineage: Eukaryota; Metazoa; Chordata; Mammalia; Carnivora; Canidae. The record is from RNAcentral.
UGUGCACAGGUGCACAAAGAGCCACCUGUCAGCCCAAGGGUCUGUGGAAUCGCCCCAAACUGCAGUGAAAUGGGAGAGAUCAUGGGAGGGGGAGAUGUUCCUCUUACCUCUGCCUCAUCUUCUAGCCCCCAAGACUGGGAGCCCAAGACUGGUCUAAAUCCUGGCUGUACCAUCAAUCAGCAAGACCUCGAACAAGACCCCUAAUCUCUCUGAGCCUGACUUUUCUCAUCUCUAGAACAGGAGCAGUAAUAAAACACAGAGUAAUUGGAGAACAACACGGGCCGAAUCAGGUAAGGGCCUGGCACCAUGACACGAUGGCUGUACCCAAAGGCACCGCUACAUUCAUCAUCUCUAGGCCCCUCUGAGAAGCACCUCGGGGGUGCUCACCUCAGGGGGAACAGUCGGAACCAGCGGCCCAGAGCCCCUGCUCAGCCCUCAGCACCACCCGAGUGCGGACAAAGAAGGGACAGAAGCCCAGCUAGACCCAGCUUGCUUCCAGCUCCACUUCAUUCCCGAUCUCCCAUGGGGACACCCAACCUGGGAUGCACCCCUGGCCUCCUGCCUGCCUGGCUUGAUCAGCCCACCAUGUUCCUCUCCAUCCAAGGUGUGAGUGAAGUCCAGGCCAGAGUGGCCCAAGGCCUGGGCCUCCCUGAGGACAUCUCCACAAAAGCCUGGUCAACCCAGGCCAGCUAGGAUUCGGGCCCCAGGCCCUAUUUAUUUAGACUCUGGUGCUGUGGUGCAGAGUCACCGGGACCUGUCCCUGGAGUUGUUCUGGAAGAGAGGGACAUGGGCUGAGAGCCAGGGACGCUGCACACAUGGAGACCCAAGCAACUGUGCAUUAGCUCCAGGAGUGAGCUAGCCUGCGGGACAGUCGUCAGCUCGCUCCGGCAGCCCAUGGAAGUCUGUCUGCCUGGAGGAGGAAGCAUGACCCUCAAGCUGAGUUUGAAGGAGAAAGAGGCCAGAUAAAGAUGCCCGGCAUUGGGAAGUGGAGGGGCCAACCAGAGGCAGGUGUGUGGCAGGAAGAAGGACAAGGCGGGGCUGCAGAAAUGGAUGGGCACCGCCCCCCUUGGCCUGGCGAGUGAUGACAAGGGGGUAGGACUGCAUCUCAGAAGUCACAAGGAAUAGACAGAGGUGAAUAAGGAGGGGAGGGACUGCCCGGGAGAGGGUCCCUGGCAUUGGCAUUCUCCCUGAGAAGCAAGAGAAGAAAGAGGGGGGCCUCUAGGAGCUACUCACUCCCUUGUGGCCUGGCCCAUCUGCCUCUGAAGGCUGAGGAAACUUCUGAUCUCUGCCCACCCCCCACCCCCAAACACAC